AUGUCGCCCACGGCCAUGUCGCUGACGACGACGAGCCACCUGCCCGUCUGCAAGGCGCAGGACGUCGCCAAGCAAGCGCCGCAGAGGCGGGCCUCUCCCGCCAAGAUCACGCCCCCGUCGCCAGACGCUGCCGGGCUCCUCGGCAGGCGGGGGCUGCUCCAGUCCGCCGGGCUGGGGCUGGGACUCGGGCUCGCCGUGGCAAGGCCGGCACGGGCUGAUCAGCCGCCGGUGCUGGCGCCGGAGGAGCUGACGUCGAGCCGGAUGUCCUACUCCAGGUUCCUGGAGUACCUCGACGCCGGCGCGGUCAAGAAGGUGGACCUGUUCCAGAACGGCACGGUGGCCGUGGCCGAGGUGGACGAGCCGGCGCUGGCGAGGGUGCACCGCGUCAAGGUGCAGCUCCCGGGGCUCCCCGCCGAGCUGGUCCGGAAGAUGCGGGAGAAGGGCGUCGACUUCGCGGCCCAGCCGGUGGAGCCCAACGUCGGGCUGGACGUCCUGGGCCUCCUGCUUAACCUCGGCUUCCCGCUCCUCUUCCUCGCCUCGCUCUUCCUGCGGUCGUCCGGCGGCAUGAACGCGCCCGGCGGCGGGCCGAGCCUGCCCUUCGGGCUCGGCCGGUCCAAGGCCAAGUUCCAGAUGGAGCCCAACACGGGCGUCACGUUCGACGACAUCGCCGGCGUGGACGAGGCGAAGCAGGACUUCCAGGAGAUCGUGCAGUUCCUCAAGUUCCCUGACAAGUUCACGGCGGUGGGGGCAAGGAUCCCCAAGGGGGUGCUCCUGGUCGGCCCGCCGGGAACGGGGAAGACGCUGCUGGCCAAGGCGAUCGCGGGCGAGGCCGGCGUGCCCUUCUUCUCGCUGUCCGGGUCGGAGUUCAUCGAGAUGUUCGUGGGCGUGGGCGCGUCGCGGGUGCGGGACCUCUUCAACAAGGCCAAGGACAACGCGCCGUGCCUGGUGUUCAUCGACGAGAUCGACGCCGUCGGCCGGCAGCGCGGCACGGGCAUCGGCGGGGGCAACGACGAGCGCGAGCAGACGCUGAACCAGCUGCUCACCGAGAUGGACGGCUUCCGCGGCGACAGCGGCGUCAUCGUCAUCGCCGCCACGAACCGGCCGGAGAUCCUCGACGCCGCGCUGCUCCGCCCGGGACGCUUCGACCGGCAGGUGUCCGUGGGGCUGCCCGACGUGCGCGGCCGCGAGGAGAUCCUCAGGGUGCACAGCGCCAACAAGAAGCUGGACCCCGGCGUGUCCCUCAGCGUGGUGGCCAUGCGCACGCCCGGGUUCAGCGGCGCCGACCUCGCCAACCUCAUGAACGAGGCCGCCAUCCUCGCCGGCCGCCGCGGCAAGGACCGCGUCUCCGUCAAGGAGAUCGACGACUCCAUCGACCGCAUCGUCGCCGGCCUCGAGGGCGCCAGCAUGACCGACGGCAAGAGCAAGAUGCUCGUCGCCUACCACGAGAUCGGCCACGCCGUCUGCGCGACGCUGACGCCGGGGCACGACGAGGUGCAGAAGGUGACGCUGAUCCCGCGGGGGCAGGCGCGGGGCCUGACGUGGUUCCUCCCCGGCGAGGACCCGACGCUGGUGUCCAAGCGGCAGAUCUUCGCGAGGAUCGUGGGCGGGCUCGGCGGCCGUGCCGCGGAGGAGGUGAUCUUCGGCGAGCCGGAGGUGACGACGGGCGCGGCGGGGGACCUGCAGCAGGUGACGCAGGUGGCGCGGCAGAUGGUGACCACGUUCGGCAUGUCGGAGAUCGGGCCGUGGGCGCUGACGGACCAGGCGGCGCAGAGCGGGGACGUGGUGCUGCGGAUGCUGGCCAGGAACGCCAUGUCGGAGAAGCUCGCGGCCGACAUCGACAGGACGGUGAAGGCCAUCAUCGACGAGGCGUACGAGGUCGCCAAGGCGCACGUCAGGAGGACGCGGCCCGCCAUCGACCAGCUGGUCGACGUGCUCAUGGAGAAGGAGACGCUCACCGGCGAUGAGUUCAGGGCGGUCCUGUCAGAGUACGUCGACAUCGGCAGAGAGCAGAGGGACACCGCCGCGAGGACGGACAUGGUCACUGCUUGA
Molecule: ribosomal RNA, 2049 nt
Filed under: Triticum aestivum (bread wheat)
Lineage: Eukaryota; Viridiplantae; Streptophyta; Magnoliopsida; Poales; Poaceae
Description: partial small subunit ribosomal RNA
Source: RNAcentral